This 612-nucleotide ribosomal RNA is filed under the name Amphidoma languida. RNAcentral's name for it is "partial large subunit ribosomal RNA". It matches the Rfam family "Eukaryotic large subunit ribosomal RNA", at positions 68 to 656 of the family's 3401-position model. Lineage: Eukaryota; Dinophyceae; Gonyaulacales; Amphidomataceae. The record is from RNAcentral.
AAUAGGAUUCCCUUAGUAAUGGCGAAUGAACAGGGAUCAGCUCAGUAUGGAAAUCGGGGCUUCCCAGCCUUGAAUUGUAGUCUCAAGAGGUAUCGCCAACGGAGGCGCAGAUGUAAGCCUCUUGGAAAAGAGCAUCAAUGAGGGUGAGAAUCCCGUUUGUCAUCUGCAGUCCCCCGUGCACGGUGUAUCUUCUAAGAGUCGCGUUCCUCGGGAUUGGAGCGUAAAGUGGGUGGUAAAUUUCAUCUAAGGCUAAAUAUGGGUUCGAGACCGAUAGCAAACAAGUACCAUGAGGGAAAGAUGAAAAGGACUUUGAAAAGAGAGUUAAAAGUGCCUGAAAUUGCUGAAAGGGAAGCGAAUGGAACCAGUGCUCUUGGCGAGAUUGUUGUGCGCUAUGGUGAUUGCUGGCUGCUUCAGCGCAAGCGGGGUAGUUGGUACUGAGCCUGCCGCGCGCAGUGUUUCUUACCUUGUGCGUCACCGUCGGUUCACAGGCGAGGAUACUUCUGAGGACAUGGUAACUCUUCCACGGAGGUGUGAAUGUCUUUGGUAAUACUCGUUUGUAGACCGCUCACCUUCGGGUUACGAUGACUAAAUGGUUCUAUUCGACCCGUCUUG